ACCCGGUUGACGAAUCCUAAAUAGGAUGAAACGUGCAUCCUGGAU
RNAcentral lists this non-coding RNA (45 nucleotides) under Trichobilharzia regenti. Lineage: Eukaryota; Metazoa; Platyhelminthes; Trematoda; Strigeidida; Schistosomatidae. The record is from RNAcentral.